Molecule: long non-coding RNA, 583 nt
Organism: Talpa occidentalis (Iberian mole)
Lineage: Eukaryota; Metazoa; Chordata; Mammalia; Eulipotyphla; Talpidae
Exons: 3
Source: RefSeq, a predicted model, not a curated record
GGUAGCUGUAGGGCACAUUUUUCUGGCUUCUGCCGAUUUGCCAUAUCAGCAACAUUUGAGCCAGCUGAAUGACUGCCUUUGGAGAUGGGGUUUCUCAGGAAGGACAUUGCACAAUCAGAAAAUGUUGAUCUGCCAAGGCUGUAACAUUUUUUUCCUGGAGCCCUGUCAGGAAUGUGUCACAGGAGGUGGGGGAGAUGGACCAUGGAACAGAGAAUACUAGGCCCCAGCAACCAGGUUUAAUAUGGAGAGUGGCUACUAAACUGAGAAAAAUUUGAAUCACUGUGAAAUCCUUGGUUGUCAACUUGAUUGUUUUUACCAUGAGUAUUUCCCAGGCUCUACCUUCCACCAGUACAGAGCAUCCCUACAGAAAGCAAUUUUCCUGCAAAGAGCAAACACCUUCAGAGCUCAGAGUAGCCGAUAGAAAAGUAGCAUCAAGAUGUUGCUCUCCACUUGAAGGAAAUUUUGCAAAACAAAUUGGAUUCAGCUGAAAUUGGCCAACCUUAGGAGAAGAACAUAAUUUCUUCUUUCCUUCAGUACCAAACUGUAGGAUUAACAAAGAAUAAAGGGGAAUAAAAAUGCAAAA